RNA transcript from Arachis duranensis, 937 nucleotides. It is a transcript of the gene named thioredoxin-like protein CITRX, chloroplastic, with no coding region annotated. NCBI's taxonomy places the organism in Eukaryota, Viridiplantae, Streptophyta, Magnoliopsida, Fabales, Fabaceae. The record is from RefSeq and is a predicted model, not a curated record. The transcript is spliced from 5 exons.
AUGUAAAAGAGAUAAACCCCAUAACAGAAACAUAAACCCCAAACUCUUCUUCUUCUUCUUCUUCUUCUUCCCUCAAAAUGGUUCUUCUCCAUUGCCAUCAGAGUGUGGCCACACUCACACUCUCACCCAUUUCAUUCUUCUCUUCCAAUUCCAAACCAUUCUCCGUUUCUCUUCGCAACAACAACAACCCUACCUUUUCAACAAGAACCAAUUCCCCUUUCUCACUCUCCACCAUGCCAAGAAAAUUCCUCUGCAACCCUCCCAAGGGUAAAUACGUCAGAGAAGAUUACCUCGUGAAAAAAUUGUCAGCAAUGGAAAUUCAAGAGCUUGUAAAGGGGGAAAGAAAUGUGCCUCUUAUUAUUGAUUUUUAUGCAACAUGGUGUGGACCCUGCAUCUUAAUGGCUCAAGAACUUGAAAUGCUUGCAGUUGAAUACGAGAAGAAUGCGAUGAUUGUGAAGGUUGAUACAGAUGAUGAAUAUGAAUUUGCACGUGACAUGCAGGUCCGAGGGCUCCCGACUGUGUUCUUCAUUAGUCCGGAUCCGAACAAGGAUGCGAUCCGAACCGAAGGCCUGGUCCCGAUACAGAUGAUGAGGGACAUCAUUGACAAUGAAAUGUGAGACAUUAGAUGGUGCUGAUUCGCCAUAAAGAAAGUGGGGUUGCAAUAUCCUGUCUGGUGUAACGUUGCAAGUGACAAGAAUGGUUUUCUAACAUCCUAUGAAAUAAUAAAACGAAAAACAGAAGACAAGGAAACAGGCUUCAGCGAGAAUGAAGCUUACAUUGUCAGAUUUGCUUGCAAGAUACAUGAAAAGUAGCAUCAGGUAGUUGUUUGAGUUGUUUAAAUCUUAUUUUUCGAAUUUGAUCUUUAGAAGCAACAAGUUUUAUGACCAUUCUCUCUUCAUUGAAGUGAACUCUGAUAACAUUAGAGAUUAGUUCUUGA